RNAcentral lists this ribosomal RNA (112 nucleotides) under Jaculus jaculus (lesser Egyptian jerboa). The record is from RNAcentral. Lineage: Eukaryota; Metazoa; Chordata; Mammalia; Rodentia; Dipodidae.
GUCUACAGACAUACUACUCUGAACACACCUUAUCUUGUCUAAUCUCAGAAGCUAAGCAGGUCAGGCCUGGUUAGCACUUGGAUGGGAGAAAUGGAUUGCAAUUUUGUGGCAA